UAUUUAGGAAUACAAAGCACUAUCUCUCUUUCUCUCUCUCUCUCUCUCUCACACACACACACACACACUCACCACCAAAUCUCACCUCACCUCAGGCACUUACCACCGGGAAACAUUCGACGUCACACAUUGCCACCGUCACAAAUCGCCACCGUUGCAAAUCACCACUGCCACUGCCGCAAUACCAGGUUGAGAGCUCUGUUUCUGCUCCUAUGGAUGGACAAAACACCCGUGGUCUAACAAUGGUCCAAGCACCCUUCGAUAUGCUCUGGCAUCUAUCCCAUUUUCACACCAAACUAUGAGUGUUCAAGUUCAUGGAGCAUCUAGAAAAAAAUGAGAAACAAAUAGAUCAGAGGAGCAAGGUCAAGUUUAAAUUCAUGAGUUUGAAAGUGAAAAAAGGGAUGGAUUAUGUAUCUGAAUUGUUAGUGUUGAUUUGUUUGGCUAAAUGACGUGGAAAUGCUCCGUACAUGGAUCAAGUGGACCUUGCCAAUAGCUUAGACCAAUAGCUUGGACCAAUAGCUCGGAUAAACGGUUGUGCUUGGGUGAGGUGGGUGAGGCCGGUCACUGGUCAUGUAUUGAGUAGGACCAGGUAUUUGGUCUGGAUAAAUUGUCAUAUGUUGAGUUAGUCUAUUUGUGCAAUUGGGUAAUUUCUUGAUUAUCGAAUCGAAUCAAUUGUGUAAUUGUUAGAUCCCUGUUGAUUUAUUUUCUGUCUGAGCCUUGUUAUUCCUACUGUAUUGUAUAUUUCCCGAAUUAAUUUAUUUUUCAGGUGCGGAGGAAUUUAGUGGAGAUCGGAUUUAAAGUUCUAAAGAUAUUAUUUGAGUUGGAGAUUUGUGGGCCCACAACUAUAUAUUAUUUUUGGAGAUUUAUAUAAUUUAUAUUUUGGAGACAUUUGUGUUAAUUAUUUAUAGAGACGAUUUGUAUAUUUGAGAUUAUAAGUUAUCUGCAAUUAUAAAUUUGAGGUUGAUUUGAUUUAUUAACGGCCCGGAAAUUGGGGCGUUACAUAAUCUGCUUGGGAGUCUGCUCGUUUUGUGAAGUUAACCGAAGAAAUUCCUCCAUGUUA
Long non-coding RNA from Camellia sinensis, 1060 nucleotides. RefSeq lists it as uncharacterized. The record is from RefSeq and is a predicted model, not a curated record. Lineage: Eukaryota; Viridiplantae; Streptophyta; Magnoliopsida; Ericales; Theaceae.